UGGGGAAUCUUCCGCAAUGGGCGAAAGCCUGACGGAGCAACGCCGCGUGAGUGAAGACGGCCUUCGGGUUGUAAAGCUCUGUUAUACGGGACGAAUAAUCUUGUGGUUAAUACCCAUAAGAAGUGACGGUACCGUAAGAGAAAGCCACGGCUAACUACGUGCCAGCAGCCGCGGUAAUACGUAGGUGGCAAGCGUUGUCCGGAAUUAUUGGGCGUAAAGGGCGCGCAGGCGGCUUCUUAAGUCUGUCUUAAAAGUGCGGGGCUUAACCCCGUGAUGGGAUGGAAACUGGGAAGCUCAGAGUAUCGGAGAGGAAAGCGGAAUUCCUAGUGUAGCGGUGAAAUGCGUAGAUAUUAGGAGGAACACCAGUGGCGAAAGCGGCUUUCUGGACGAAAACUGACGCUGAGGCGCGAAAGCCAGGGGAGCGAACGGGAUUAGAUACCCCGGUAGUCCUGGCCGUAAACGAUGGGUACUAGGUGUAGGAGGUAUCGACCCCUUCUGUGCCGGAGUUAACGCAAUAAGUACCCCGCCUGGGGAGUACGGCCGCAAGGUUG
This 551-nucleotide ribosomal RNA is filed under the name uncultured bacterium. RNAcentral describes it as "bacterial SSU rRNA". It matches the Rfam family "Bacterial small subunit ribosomal RNA", at positions 355 to 896 of the family's 1533-position model. The record is from RNAcentral.